UACGAAGGGGGCUAGCGUUGCUCGGAAUCACUGGGCGUAAAGGGUGCGUUGGCGGGUCUUUAAGUCAGGGGUGAAAUCCUGGAGCUCAACUCCAGAACUGCCUUUGAUACUGAGGAUCUUGAGUUCGGGAGAGGUGAGUGGAACUGCGAGUGUAGAGGUGAAAUUCGUAGAUAUUCGCAAGAACACCAGUGGCGAAGGCGGCUCACUGGCCCGAUACUGACGCUGAGGCACGAAAGCGUGGGGAGCAAACAGG
RNAcentral lists this ribosomal RNA (253 nucleotides) under uncultured bacterium. RNAcentral's name for it is "partial 16S ribosomal RNA". It matches the Rfam family "Bacterial small subunit ribosomal RNA", at positions 524 to 776 of the family's 1533-position model. The record is from RNAcentral.